This 6565-nucleotide long non-coding RNA is filed under the name Octopus vulgaris (common octopus). Lineage: Eukaryota; Metazoa; Mollusca; Cephalopoda; Octopoda; Octopodidae. The record is from RNAcentral.
UGGAGUACAAACAAACAAUUUUAUUAGUAUGGCGCUCAGGAAUAUAAAUAAAACAAGUCUUUUACGUUUCGAGCCUACGCUCUUCAACAGAAAGAUACACAGAAAAGAAACACAGAGAAACAAGGAGAGAAAAAAUAUGCAUGUAGAAGCUAGCGAUUCAACAUGGUGAAGUAUGUAUGUAUAUGUUUGUGUGUCUGUGUUUGUCCCCCACCACCGAUGGUAGUGUGUUUACGUCCCGUAACUUAGCGCUUCAGCAAAAGAGACUGAUAGAAUAAGUACUAGGCUUACAAAGAAUAAGUCCUGGGGUCAAUUUACUCGACUAGAAGGUGGUGCUCCAGUAUGGCAACAGUCAAAUAACUGAAACAAGUAAAAGAGUAAAGAGUAUAGUGUAAUAGCUGUGGAGGCACAUGGCCUAAUGGUUAGAGCAGCGGACUCGCGGGUUUAAAUCUCAGACCGGGCGAUGUGUGUUUUUAUGAGCGAAACACCUAAGCUCCACGUGGGUCUGGCAGAAGGUAAUGGCGAACUUCUACUGACUCUUUCGCCACAACUUUCUCUCACUCUUUCCUCCUGCAUCUUUCAGCUCACCGGCGUCCCGUCCAGGUGGGGAACCUAUACACCAAGGAAACUGGCCCUUAUGAGCCAGGCAUGGCUUGAGAAGGAACAAAUAGCUGAUUUGGCAACUCAAAUGUUUUCUUAUAGAAUGGCUUAUGUUGCUCUUUCAAAAGCUAGAAAGUUGUGCAUUCUUUAUUCAUCUGACUUUAACCCCAGAUCUCUCAUAAUAUGUGACAAAUCUGUUUGGGUAAAGUACAACACAUUAAGAGCAACUACUGUUGAAAGAUCAGUUUUGCCUCCUUUACCACCUUGCAGGAAAAAAAAAAAAAUAACCUCCUUGCAUGGCUAAUGCUUCUAGCAUGCCUAAAAAAAACAAAGAGAUGGGAUCAUGAAGAAAUCACUGAAAAUCAUCAUCAUUUAAUGUCUGUUUUCCAUGCUAGCAUGGGUUGGACGGUUCAACUGGGGUCUGGGAAGCCAGGAGGCUGCACCAGGCUCCAGUCUGAUCUGGCAGUGUUUCUACAGCUGGAUGCCCUUCCUAAUGCCAACCACUCUGUGAGUGUAGUGGGUGCUUUUUACGUGCCACCAGCACAGGUGCCAAGGGAGGCUGGUAGCAGUCACGAUCGGUUGGUGCUUUUUACGUGCCACCGGCACAGGUAUCACAACUACAAUUUCCAUGGUAGAUGAGUUCAGCAAAAAUUUAGUUUCAGAUGAAUAUGGUACUUAAGUUGAGGCACCAGAAUUGAACAACCAAAAAAAAAAGAAGAAACCUGAAAAUUAUCAAAAUAAUUUUAUCCUUACUUGGGUUACUUUUCUUUUCGACCCUUUAGAAUUGGAAUUUUUAAAAAGUAAAAAUUUUGCAUUAUGUGGCUUUCGAAUGUAUGUGCCUGUGUGUGUGUGUGCGCCAAUUCUCUUUAAGUGAACAUUUUUCUGGUUGAAAUACACCAAAAAAUGGUGACACAGCAGUAAAAAAAUAUCGCAAAAAAUAGAGAUUUUCAUAGAAAAAAGCACCUUUUUUAUGUAAAUAAUUUUUGGUGUUAACAUGGUCCGAUUUGAAUUUUAUCCUCUACGUAAUGAAGAGCAAGCCUUCUUCUAUCAUACUCUCAAUUUUGGUCAACUUGCGCCGCAGGGUCUCGGAGGAGAUAGUGUUAGUUGAAGGCUACCAAAUCUGCCAUACACAGACAACUUCAGCUUUAUAAAUAGUAAAAAAUAGGGAUUUUCAUAGAAAAAAAAAGCACCUUUUUUAUGUAAAUAAUUUUUGGUGUUAACAUGGUCCGAUUUGAAUUUUAUCUUCUACGGAAUGAAAAGCAAGCCUUCUUCUAUCAUAAUCUUAAUUUUGGUCAACUUGCGCCGCAGGGUCUCGGAGGAGUUAGUGUUAGUUGAAGGCUAUCAAACCUGCCAUACACAGACAACUUCAGCUUUAUAAAUAGUAAAAAAUAGGGAUUUUCAUAGAAAAAAAAAAGCACCUUUUUGAUGUAAAUAAUUUUUGGUGUUAACAUGGUUCAAUUUGAAUUUUAUCUUCUACGGAAUGAAAAGCAAGCCUUCUUCUAUCAUACUCUCAAUUUUGGUCAACUUGCACCGCAGGGUCUCGGAGGAGAUAGUGUUAGUUGAAGGCUACCAAACCUGCCAUACACAGACAACUUCAGCUUUAUAUAGAUUAUAUAGAUUAGUAAAAGGAAUGCUGGUUUUGCAAAUUUUAUUAUAUAGAUAAAUAGGUAAUAUAAAAUCCAUUAUAAUAUUGUGGAAAAUUUAAGAAGAAUCAUAAGAAUAAGAUUAAGUUAAACUAAUUAUUUGGCUCAAAAAGGAAAAAGUAAGGCCAUGUAGGGGUACAUGGAGUUAUGUACAGGGUGGUGUUCAUGCCAUUUGUGGUCAAGGGAGACUUUGAACCGAGUGGUCGUCAUGAUGGAAAUAGCAUUUUGGAACUUGAAUUUCAACAGCAAAUUCCAAUUUAUUAAUUUUGAUUAUAUUAAUUGCAUUAGAGAGGUUCAAGCUCGUCCAAUUUUCAAUGAUGGCAUGUGCAAAUGUUAUACUGAAUGUUCAUUUCUGUUCUUUGACAGUGUUGCAACUAUCUUCUUUCUCUUCAUCUGUUCUAGAAGACAUUGAGAGGGAAAAAGAAGAAGAGAGAUUGUGAGGGAAUAAAAAAACAGAAAAAUACAGAUUUCACAUUCAGUUGAAAAAAAAACAUUCACAUUAAUUAAAUAUCUACUCUAGGCCGAUGAAGGACAAUGAUCCUGAAACACGGUGUCCCUAGAUGCAGUUCCGGCGGUUGGGGGUGUUUGUCUCCCCUUCGUAUAUGUAUAUAAGGACACAGGGAAAAAAUGUGUCGAAGCUGUCAGGAGGCGUUCGAUGCCUCCUAGGGCUAUACAACGGUGGUGUACCCCCUACUGUCACGUUCUUGUUAGAUUGACAGUAUACAACCAUUCUAUUCACAUUAAUUAUAAAUCUAUACACAUGAACACACACAGAUAUCCCUCUCUCGCUCUCUCUUUCGGAGAGGCACUGAGCAGCUAUACGCACACAUACACACACGGCAGUAACUUCCACCUACCGAAUUCAAUCACAAAGCUCCGGUCGGCUCGGGGCUAUAGUGGAAAACACCUACCCAAAGUGCCACGCAGUGGGACUGAACCCGAAACCAUGUAGCUAGGAAGCAAGCUCCCUAACCACACAGCCAUAUAUAUAUAUAUAUAUAUAUAUAUAUAUAUAUAUAUUCCCUCUCUCUUUUUCGGAGAGGCACUGAGCAGCUAUACGCACACGGCAGUAACUUCCACCCACUGAAUUCAAUCACAAAGCUCCGGUCGGCUCGGGGCUAUAGUGGAAGACACCUACCCAAAGUGCCACGCAGUGGGACUGAACCCGAAACCAUGUAGCUAGGAAGCAAGCUCCCUAACCACACAGCCAUGCCCGCGAAAAUGGAGAAACAAAUUCAUCUCGUUCAUCAACUUACGGAUAUUACAAUUUUACAUUAUUAAUUAUACAAAUGAGAACAUCAAAAUCUAACAAAACUUUAUAUAAAUCAAUAGGCGCAGGAGUGGCUGUGUGGUAAGUAGCUUGUUAACCAACCACAUGGUUCUGGGUUCAGUCCCACUGCGUGGCAUCUUGGGCAAGUGUCUUCUGCUAUAGCCCCGGGCCGACCAAUGCCUUGUGAGUGGAUUUGGUAGACGGAAACUGAAAGAAGCCUGUCGUAUAUAUGUAUAUAUAUAAAUGUAUGUGUGUGUGUUUGUGUGUCUGUGUUUGUCCCCUAGCAUUGCUUGACAACCGAUGCUGGUGUGUGUUUACGUCCCCGUCACUUAGCGGUUCGGCAAAAGAGACCGAUUUAAUAAGUACUGGGCUUACAAAAAAUAAGUCUCGGGGUCGAUUUGCUCGACUAAAGGCGGUGCUCCAGCAUGGCCGCAGUCAAAUGACUGAAACAAGUAAAAGAGUAAAGAGUAAGAGUAGGUAAUAUAAUAAUAAAAAUAAUACAAAUACAUAUUUUAAUAGUCAUAUUAUAAAUUAUUGAAAUUCAUAGACUACUCCUUACAGCUGUUUCAGCCUAUGAUAAAAAGUCAAUCCAACUUAUAUUGCCUAUAGAUGUCAGUUUUAGGCAUUAAAAAUUAUAUGUUAAAAGAACCAUAGGCCUUGUCAGAAGAUAUAAUUAACUUGAAAAGUAUAAUAAUAAUAUUGAUAUACAAAACAUGCUGCACUUAUUAUCUAAUAUAUACAAAUAAAUAAUAAAACAAAUAUCCAAAAUACAUACAUAUACAUAAAUAUAUAUAUAUAACUGUAUAUAUACAUAUAAAAAAAUAUACAUACAGAUAUAUACAUAAGCAAACUGUACAUACUAUUCACAUGCGCAAAAUACAUAAAGAACAACAUUGAACAAUAUAUUACAUUCAGGUGAUAUUAUUAUCAGCUACUAUGCCACCAGAUGUCUUUGAAGUCACUAGACAGUUUAUGAGGGAGCCCAUUAAGAUUUUAGUGAAAAAGGAAGAGUUGACCCUGGAAGGUAUCAAACAAUUCUUCGUUCAUAUUGAGAAAGAGGUAAGUCAGAUAUCGGUUUAUAUCUAUUUCUACGUUUUUAAAUGUAAAUUGUGACAAAAGUCAUAACGUAGACCGUAUUUUGAACAAAUCACAUUAAUUUUUAUGCUUUACUGUUUUCUUAAUUGUUUAGCAAGCUACUUACCACACAGCCAAUGAGGGUGAGAAAUUAGAUAUUAAUUUAAUUAACAUCGAUUUCACACCAGUGGUCUAGCAUAUAAAAAAACUGAAGGUUCAGUAAAAUUGUAUUAUAUACAUAUUAGUGCAAUACCGCGUAGUAACACAUUAGUGCUAUGGCAGCCAGACAAUUAGAGCUAAGAUGCAGUAAUAUCAGAAAACCAGUUCUUGGCCUUAAAGAGAACUAAGAUUUUAAUUGAGGGAACUAGAGACCAACUGGUGACCUGUCAACAUAUCUCACCACCUGCAACUCAAUUGAGAAAAGCUGAUGUUUGUUUCUUCCAACUGACACUAUAUAUGGCUAACUGCAACCCCAAGCAGGAAGAACUAACUAUUAUCCUCUUUCAUAAAGUCAACAUGAAAGGCCUUUGUGUAACUUAUAUUAAUCCAGAUGGUUUUAAUGCAAAAAUAAGAUAUAAAUCUUUCUGAUUUACUCAGCUAUUAGUCCUUUCUUGUCCACAUGUGAUAGAAUAAAUCAAAUAUAUUUUUGCAAUGACAUCUUAGUGUUUUUCGCUGAAGUGAAAUUCCACCUUAAUUAAGUCUUCUGAUAUUCCAUUUUACAUCCUUCCCCAAAUUUUCCCAUAGAAAACCCACAGGUAACUUACAUGUCCCAGGAUAACCAAUAGUCCCAGGAUAACCAAUGCCUCGAGAGUGAAUAUGAUGGACAGAAACUAUGUGAAAGUUUGUGUGUGUCUUUGUGUCUAUCCCGCCACCAAUAGACAACCGUUGUUGGUGUGUUUACAUCCCUGUAACUUAGUAGUUUUCCGCAAAAGAAACCAAUAUAAUAAGUAGCAGGCUUAAAAAGAAAAAUAAGCACUGUGGUCAAUAUGUUCAACUAAAAUCCUUCAAGUUGAUGCUCCAUCAUGGCUGCAAGUGAAAGAAGAUGCCAACUCAUACAACAUGGGACUUCAAAGCCUCUAGCAUUCAGAUUACUUUAUCAAAUGUUAUGAUUAUCUAUUCACAUGGUUUUCAAUCUCUUUUACUCUUUUACUUGUUUCAGUCAUUUGACUGCGGCCAUGCUGGAGCACCGCCUUUAGUUGAGCAAAUCGACCCCGGGACUUAUUCUUUGCAAGCCUAGUACUUAUUCUAUCGGUCUCUUUUACUUGUUUCAGUCAUUUGACUACGGCCAUGCUGGAGCAUUGCCUUUAGUCGAGCAAAUCGACCCCGGGACUUAUUCUCUGUAAGCCCGGUACUUAUUCUAUCGGUCUCUUUUGCCAAACCGCUAAGUGACGGGGACGUAAACACACCAGCAUUGGUGGUCAAGCAAUGCUAGGGGGACAAACACAGACACACAAACACACACACACAUAUAUAUAUAUAUAUAUAUAUAUAUACAUAUAUACGACAGGCUUCUUUCAGUUUCCAUCUACCAAAUCCACUCACAUGGCAUUGGUCGGCCCGGAGCUAUAGCAGAAGACACUUGCCCAAGAUGCCACGCAGUGGGACUGAACCCGGAACAAUGUGGUUGGUCAGCAAGCUACUUACCACACAACCACUCCUACAUUAUUUUGUAGCUUCAACAUUUUAAAUGAAGUGAUUCUUUUGCUUUUAGAGUGACAUUGUAGGGUAGGCAUGAGAAGCUGGAUCUGGCUCUUUUGAACUCAAGACAUUGUAUCUGGGCUGGAUAUAACUGGAUAAAUGAUAAAGGGUUAACAUCAAAUGAAAAAAUAAUAUAUUUAAUCACAAAAUAACAUUCUUACCGAAAUUUGUUUUGGAUUUUUUCAUAUAGCAACAUAAGCCGCAGAUGAGCAAGAUGAGAAAAACAGUUGUCACAAUGACAUCAAUUAUGAUGGGUGUGUAGUUGGUUCCUGAUGCAAUGUUA